AGCGGCGGAAGGGAGAGGACAACAUGGGAAACUGCCCUGGGGACGAGGAUAGCGUCGGGAAACUGACGGUAAUACUCGAUAAUGUUUGCGGACCAAAGGUGUGAUUCCGCCCCAGGAUGUGCCCAUGCCCCAUUAGCUAGUUGGCGGUGUAAUGGACCACCAAGGCUAUGAUGGGUAGCUGGUGUGAGAGCACGACCAGCCUCACUGGCACUGAGACACUGGCCAGACACCUACGGGUGGCUGCAGUCGAGAAUCUUCGGCAAUGGACGAAAGUCUGACCGAGCGACGCCGCGUGCGGGAUGAAGGCCUUCGGGUUGUAAACCGCUGUCGAGGGGAAUCAAAUGCAAGGGGGUUCUCCCCCCUGCUUGAGAGAACCCUGGAGGAAGGGGAGGCUAAGCUCGUGCCAGCAGCCGCGGUAAGACGAGCUCCCCAAACGUUAUUCGGUAUCACUGGGCUUAAAGAGUUCGUAGGCGGCGAAGUAGGUGAGGUGUGAAAGCCCUCGGCU
RNAcentral lists this ribosomal RNA (505 nucleotides) under uncultured Planctomycetaceae bacterium. RNAcentral describes it as "bacterial SSU rRNA". It matches the Rfam family "Bacterial small subunit ribosomal RNA", at positions 94 to 609 of the family's 1533-position model. The record is from RNAcentral. Lineage: Bacteria; Pseudomonadati; Planctomycetota; Planctomycetia; Planctomycetales; Planctomycetaceae.